RNAcentral lists this long non-coding RNA (7962 nucleotides) under Gossypium barbadense (sea-island cotton). RNAcentral's name for it is "long non-coding RNA (GBAR_LNC019956)". The record is from RNAcentral. Lineage: Eukaryota; Viridiplantae; Streptophyta; Magnoliopsida; Malvales; Malvaceae.
CAAGUUUUGAAGUAGAAGAAAAACAUAAUAGCUAAGUCUUAAAUCAAUCAGCAAAAAUCAACCAAUAGAGAGAUCGCUCUAAGCCCAAGCAAAUUCCCACACUGCCAUUAAGUCCAGAGUUCAUUUGUACCACCUUUUCAGAGAUUAUGCCUCACCUGGAUCACUCGUUUUGCCACUACUCAGUGUGCAAUCUAGUUGUCUGCAGUGUUUAGAAAAUAGUGUGUGAGCUCUUGAGAGAACAAUGGAUAUACGGGAAAGAAAAAUCACAUAGCACACACAAAACAUAAGUUAAACAAAGCUUUGCAAAGGUUACUAUACUACGAAAUGGGUUCACAAUACUUACGCAAAUCCUGGUUCGUAAAUUCUCACUAUUACUUAGCUUAGUACAAUAAAACAUAAUAUUUUGGAAAACACAAUCUUAUGCGCAUUUUCUUUUCUAUUGGAUAAACAAUCUCCUUAUAACUCCUCACUUUGACUCAAAGAGUCUUAACAUGUCCCAUAAGUGUAGCGUAAAAUUAAACACUCUCCAAACACACCAACAUAUCCCAUUAAAUGGAGCCUAGCUCAACAUUCCCUUAUCUCUCCAAACCUGUCCCAGGGCCUCUUGCCCAGAACACAAAACACAAAACAUAAAGGUAAGUACUUACAAUGUUAUGGCAUGCCAUUAUAUCCAAUAAUUACAAAAGAUUAUUGAGUCAAAACAUUUACUUAUACAUAGAGCUCGCAAAACAUGGUUCAUAAUAAGCUUGCAUAUCACUGUUCAUAAAAACACAUAUAUAAUCACAAAUCACAAAAUAGGGAUAUAGAGAAUUCUUACUCUCAAAAUAUAGGAUAAAGGCCUAAGCUCCUGAUUAACACUAUGGUUCGUACAUACAUGUGUUGAUCCCUAAACACUCACAAAUUUGCUGAAAGCUUUAAACAAGCUUUGCUUAUCCCUUUUCUUUGCUUGUAAACGGUUCUGUCGAGUUCGUAAUUUCACAAACAUACACAAGUCACUAAUAGUACAUUAUGAAACAUACAUAAACACAAAAGAUCCUAGGUUCACACAUGAUAGUCUUUUUAGUGGACCUAGUUUCCUUUGUUGCGCGUGUCUUAACCUAAUACAAAAAUAAAGUCUUACCUUAAAUCCUAAGAGCUAAGUUCUGGGUUCUUGUUUUAGUAGAAAAUUUACCACAAGAGAAAGAAAUAAUCAACGAAGAAAUUUGAAAAAUUUUUGCUGUUCAACAGAUUUUAAUGAAAAAAACUUAUGUAACAUCCUGCCCGGCGAAGACUUUGUGUCUAGACACCGUCUUGGUAAACAAGGAAAAUGAAAUAAGUUUCAAAUAGGUAUUGUGUUAGAAUUAAACUAAGUAUAAGAACCCUUUCAGUACGCCUAUGAGGCCUUGAUGUUGGCGAGCACUAGGUUGGCACAUAGUGAUCAAGAAAUGUGUCUGGUUAGGAAGGAUUCGCGCAAAAGCUUUGAUGGCACGCAGAGUGGGUGGACUCUAUUAUAAAUAAGGUAAACGAUAUUUAUGAUGUGAGUUUAUGUUAGCAGUGUAGAGUAUCCUAUAAGUUUGGCUUUGAGCCAGUCAUGAAGGAAGGAAUAAUAGUCAGGAACCAACCAAACGAGAACCGAGAUAGUAAAGGACCAAAGGUAGGUACUCGAUUAGUUUUCUUGAAAAUUGUAGAUUUAGAUAAGACCAUCCAAUGACUGAUGUGACGUUUAACAAGUUUCAAUAAAGACUUGGGUUUAGUUAAGUGUUUAAGAUAAGUUAAGAGGGAAAUGAUGUGAUUUCUAGCGCCAACAUCGAUUCAAGUUCUAAUGGAAUGAAGAAUGAAGUUUAUAGAUCGGAUAUUCAUGGCCUAAACUUUCAAGAAGCACCCAAGUCCUUAUCUGAUCCAUUGGAAUUGUCAAUUGAGCCAAUCACAAAAGCUCGAGCCAAACUCUUCAAAGAAGCUCUUAUUGGGCUUAUGCGUGGACUUUGGGAACAAUCCCAAGCUAAUCAUGUCCAAAUAGGGUCGAACCUAAUUCCUAUACUGGUCCAAGUGAUCCAAGUGAUGGACAGAAUUCCUGAUGGGCCUAAUUGAUUACUCGGUCAUUUUAAAGACUUUAAUUAUUUUAAGUUUUUCUUAAUUUAAUAAGUUUGCAUUUCAAUUAAUUUCACAAAUUUUAUUUUGUAUGUUAUCAUAUGUCAUCUUGUGUCUAAUUUGCUAAGUUGAUAAUAUCAUUAUUUAUAUGUGUGAGUCUGUGUGUGCAUGUGUGUGUGUGUGUUUUCAUAUUAUGUUGCUAAGUUCUAUCACAUGUUUAUGCGUGUUGAUUGUUAUAUGCGUAUGGGUCUUGAAUCAAGUCAAUAGUCUAACGUAUAGCUUAAGUUCAAUUAGAAGUGUAUUUGUCGAAUUCAAGUAUGAAUUGUUCCAAGUGUUUAACUCCUAGUUAUAUAUAUGUAGGUGGUUGAUCGAUUGGACCUUGCAUGGCUCUUCAAGCUCUUUCAUUAAGCCGAAUACAUGUACAAGAGAGUUUAAGGAAUCUUCAAAAUUCAUGCCAUCAUUUUGGUGCAAAUGACCGUUCGCAUGGAGUGGUUGAAUUCAUGUAUUCAUACAUGUCAUUAAUUGGAAAGAUUCAUUGCAUUAAGGAGAUGCAUGGAUAAUGGCUUGAAGGGGGAUCAAUGUGACUGGUCAUCUCCCCACAUGCAUGGAUCAAGGUUCCAUCCCCUUUGUUCCUUUCCAUGAUAAUCCUUCCAAUUUAAGCAAUUUUCCUAACUUUCAAGUUUGAGUCUCGUUAUUUUAUUUUAGAGGUUCGAAUCAAAUUCGAGAAAUCACAUCAGAAAAUAUCUUCUAUCUUCUUUUUCUUGAGAUAAUAGGACUAGAAGAAAGGUGACGUACUCCUCUAAGCUAAGUCUGAGACCACGAUGUUUGAACAAGAUUUCCUUAAAAGUAGGGCCACGCCUAGUAAUUGGGAGACCUCUAAACUUAAUAAGUAAACUAAGUAUUUCUUCAAUGGGUGAAGUGUUGUCUGCCCCACUGAUGCUCUUAGCGUGUUAAGUGGGCAUGUAACUAAUAUUAGACUAAGGCAAGAAACUGCUUUAGAAAUGGGUAAAUCAUUAGGAAAAAGAAGUUUAGUAAGGUAUUAAGGAAACUCGGAUAAUAGGGCCAUUGCCAAGAAGGGAUAACAUGCCAAGUGUGAUUAGUUAAGAUACCAGAUACGCUCUAACGUAAUGACUAAGUAUAGAGAAUGGAUUAAAGCAUAAGGAUAUGUUGUGUAAAUACAUGUACUCUCGUACACGUCUCUUUACAGCUGUCAAGAAUUUAGCAGGUAGACUAGGACGUGUGUCAAACAUCCAUAGGUAAAAAGGUAAAAUAUCAAGGUAACUUGGGUAAGAAAUGGGGGACCUUUCUCCUUCUUCUUCAAGAAGUAAUCUUUUUUUUAUAAAACGGGGGAGAAAUUAAGAGAAUCCCCAUCAUCCUUCAAGCUGAGUUGAAGAUAUGGAUCUAAGAUGCCCCUUGUUAAGGUAAGAUCUACAACCUUACAUACUAAGUUGUUAAGGAGCAGUUCAGUUUAGUUGGGUAAAGUAAGCAUGGUAGAGUCUUAUUUAAAGAUUUUUUAUGCUCAAAUUAAAAGAAAAUGAGUUAACUGUAUAGAUCUUGGUGAGUUCUCAUGUUCUGUCAAAUAGGGGUUAUCGAUCUACUCAAUAGAAGCCUGAAUCUGGUGUUUAGAGCUGUUAAAGACGCAAGUCAGGUGAGUCUCUAAGUUGACUCUUGCAAAUGUAUUAUGCAUGUUAUAACCUUCUGUGGAAAUAAGCUAAGAAUGCAUGAUGUGAUGAUUCUAUAAGAAAUGUCUGUCUAAUGAACUUGCAUGAUUGAUUUGUAUGGAAUAUAGAUAUGAUCUCUAAGGUUAAUGGUUAAUGUGUCUGAAUGUGUAAAGUGUGCAUAUGUGUGUUUUGAUGACAUGAAUAAGUCUGUUGUGAAAGAGCAUGUCAUGAGUAACUCAGUGAAUGAGUUUGUCAAGUAUGAGUCACUGCAUGAAGUUUAAGGGAAUGUGUUACAUGUCUAGAAGCAUGAAUGUAUUUGUCAUGAUGAAGUCCGAAAGAGAUAAGUUUGAGCCUAAAUGGUGAGUCUGUGUCUAUCUCCGGAGUCGUCUAAAUGGGUCCAUUGGGACUAAAAACACAAAUCUCUAAAAGGAAAAGUCCAUGGCACUCUGAAGACCAUAUAGUGUAAGACCAUGGUUGGGCUAUGGCAUCAUAUGGAAAAGAAUUAAAGGACGAUUGGGUGAGUACCAGCGAUGAGGGGCAAACCUCACGACGGUGAGUUUAGGCAAAUCCCUAUAGUCAAAAACUUCAAUUUCCGUAUAAGUGAGCAUUUGUGGCUAUCUCUGUUUUAAGGAAGCCUUUGUGGCUAUCUUUGAAAGGACACCUUUGUGGUUAUCUCUGUUAUAAGAAAGCCUUUGUGGCUAUCUCUGUUAAAAGAAAGCCUUUGUGGCGAUCUUUAUUAUAAAGAAGCCUUUGUGGCUAUCUCUGUUAAAAGGAUGCCUUUAUGGCUAUCUCUGUUAAAAACAUAGCUUUGUGGCUAUCUUAGUUAAAUGAAUGCCUUGUGGAAAACUCUGUUAAAAGGAACGCCUUCUUGGUGAGACUCUUAAAGGAAAACCUUUAUGGCUAUAUUUCAAAAGGAACGCCCUCGUGGCGAAAUCUGAAGAGCAGAUCUCGUGAUGACUAUAUGAAGACAACACCUUUAGAUGGACACCGAAUGAAUGGCGAACCCUGUAUAGUUACAAUGGAUGAAUAGAAAGGCUAGUGUGCACCAGAGUACGUGGUAAGACAAAUAUACAAGUUAAAAGUUAAGUAUAGAGAGUGCACUGAAGUAAAGAAGAUCUGAGCGAAUUCUGAGUUAAGUAUUGGGCGCAGUCUACACCACCCAAAGGCAAUGAUAAACAAAUGAGUAUGAAAUAAACUAUUAAGUCUGAUAAUAAGAUAAGUGAAUAUGUUAAAGAUGAUGUAAAGGUAAGAUUUAAGAAAGGUUAUAGAAAGUAAAAAGAUGUUAAGUAUAGUACGCUAAAGAAAAGGGAAAGUGGUUCUAAAAAAAAUAUGGUAGCCUCAGUAUGGUACCUGCCAAAGAAGUAAGGUCAAGAAAUACACCAAAGAUGUGCAAAAUAACAUAUGCAACACAAAAUGGAUGAAAAUUUUAUUAUAAGGUUUAGCUCACUAAGUUCUUAUGAACUUACAAAAGUUAUUUCUGUUUUUAGGUUUGUAAAAGAAUAUGCACCGAGAGACGAUGCCAAUGCUAUGCCAAGGAAGUGGUGCGAUGGGCUUUUAUCCAUAUAGAGGAAAAAAAGUGGUAUGUCAAAGUAUGCACUGAAGUUCAUUAAAUAGUAUCCCAAAGUAUACCUAGUAGACUAAGGCCUAGUUUAAGAAUGCUUCUCAAAAGUGCUUUUCUCAAAAGUACUUUUAAGGAGAAGCUUAGAUUUUCAGCUUCUGAAAAAAGUGUUUUUGGACCAAUUUUUAGCUUGGAGAAGCAUUCUUUCUCUCAAAAAGUAGCUUCUUUAGGAAUGUUUUUGUCCCAAAAGCACGUUUGAGAAGCAUCCCUAAACUAGCCUUAAAAGAUAAAGCAAGAUAGUCUGAAAUUUUAUUGAGUCAAAAUAAUAGCCAUACAUUGUAUUUUUCCAAGAAAAUUCGUAGUAUCCAUAGAUCGUCAUUUGUACAUAGGCGAAAUGUAAAAGUAACCAUACAAUGUGUAACACCCCUUACCCGUAUUCGAUGUCAGAAUAGGGUACGAGGUAUUACCAGAACACAUACACUUUUAACCAUAUUAAACCGAGUUGUAAAAUUUCAUCUAAACUAAAACUUUCAAAUUGUUAUUCUUGAUUCGCUAAUUAGGGUUUACAUAGCCCAAUAUACUCACAAUCUUUCAUUUCUUCGUCGUAUGAAUUUAAAAAUUUCCAUUUACUUAUUGAAUUUAUCACGAGUACCAGAAUUGAUCCGUAUCAUUACAUAUUCUCAUGUCGUCACAUUUUCCUAUUUAACUAUUGUAAUAUAUCAAUUACUCAAUAUCUUAUAAACUAAGUGUCACAUAUACAUUAUCCAUUCAUCUCCCAUACAACUAUCAAUAUUAGCCACAAAGAUAGAACAAAUUUUCUCUAUUCGAUGUUAAAUCAAAACAUGUUACUUCAUUACCAACUACCCUUACUCAGUAUACACCUUAAAUUAGCCCAAGUGUUUAACCAAUCACACAUGACAUAAAUAUUUUAUCUAUUAUUGCAGAAUAUAGAUGUGCUACCCAAAUCAUAAUUCACCUCACGUAAUAACUGAGUUAACUUUUAUCAUUUGUCAAAUAAAUUACAAAACAAAUUAUAUAACAAAAUAUAGAUACAUUUUAAACCUCACCAAAAAAAAAUUCUCAUGGCAUUAAAUAAUUAUCACGCAUCAAAGACAAAUGUAUUUGAUAUUUCUAUCACACAAACCAGAUUAAUCAGUGCAACCUCAAUGAUGUAAUCAUCCUUUUAACUUACUUAACCAAGCCAAAUUAUAUCAUCAUCUCACACAUAGAAUGACCCACCUAUCAUACUUCUCAAUUAUGUCACUUAAUAGACCAAAUAUACCUAAUCUUUAUCAUCAUGAUCAAUCCACAACCAAAAUACAUCCAUAUAUCUAAAUUACCACACACACACAUAUAUAUACCAUACACACAUACUAUAAAAUUUUAUUUUCCCCAUGAGCUUAAAUCAUGACCAAUAAUGCACAAAUAUAAGUAUCAUUUCUAUUUCAUCGUUUAUCAAUUAUAAUCGAACAUAUGACCAAUUAUAGAAAAAUAAUUUAUAUAUUCUCUAAUUUUCCUCCUCCUCCUCUCCAUUCCACAUCAUUAAUGUGUAUAAUACAUUUAAGCAACAUUUUCCAUACUAUCACUAUUUUCCUGUAUGUAAAUUCAAGCUGUCUAUCAGAGUCAGAGUCACUAAUUUAUUUAUAUAUCGAUCUACAGAGCUCCAAAUUAAGAUCUGUUAAUUUUCCCUAAAACUAGACUCACAUAUAUUCUUACCAUAAAAUUUUUAGAAUUUUUGGUUUAUCCAAUAAGUACAGUUUAUUCUUUAAAGUUUCCCCUGUUGCACUGCUCAACAGUUCUGACCUCUCUUCACUAAAAAUUGAUUAUCUCAUUGUACAUAAUUUGGAUGGUAUUCCCGUUUAUUUAUAAUGAAAAUAUACUCGUUUAGGAUUCUAAAAAUAUAAGUUUUAACCCCUAAUUAAUUUUGUACAAUUUUUAAUGAUUUUCCAAAGUCAGAACAGGGGAUUCCAAAAUUAUUCUGACUCUAUCUCACAAAAUUUAUUAUAUCUCAUGAUUUACAAUUCCAUUGCUUACAUCGUUUCUUCUAUGAGAAACUAGACUCGAUAAGAUUUAAUUUCAUAUUUUACUCAUAUUCUAAUUCGAUUCCCACGAUUUUUGGUUAUUUUUCAAAGUUGGCACACUGCUGCUGCCCAAAACUGUUUUAGUGCAACAUUUUGAUUACCAUUUUGACCCUAAACUUUUAACACAUGACAAUUUCAUCCUUAGGCUCGGAAAAUGAAAUUAUUGCAAUUUAAUCCUUGGUCCAAGCCUAAUAGUUCUCAUACAUAUCAAUAACAGCCCAUGGAUUCCAUGAAAUUUUAGAAUUUCUACACAAUUUCAAUACUUUUCAACUUAAUCCCUAAAACAUGUUUUCAUCCAAAAUUCUUUAAUAAAACACCUUUAAACAUCCAUUAACAUCUCAAUUUCAUCAUAAAAUAACAAAACUCAUAUGAAAUUAUCAUUGGUAUCUUCCAAAACUUUCAACAAAAUGAGAAACUAGUAGAAUACUAAGUUGGAUCUAAUUGUAAAAGUCUAAAAAUAUAAAAAUUUCAAGGAAAAAGCAAGAAUUAAACUUACUUGAAGCCAAAAUAUGGAAUACCAGCUCCAAACCCUCUUCCAUGGCUGUUUCCUACCGAAAUUUCAAGAAGAAAUGGUCUUGAAAUCCUUAAAAUAAAA